This 253-nucleotide ribosomal RNA is filed under the name uncultured bacterium. RNAcentral's name for it is "partial 16S ribosomal RNA". It matches the Rfam family "Bacterial small subunit ribosomal RNA", at positions 524 to 776 of the family's 1533-position model. The record is from RNAcentral.
GACGAACCGUCCAAACGUUAUUCGGAAUCACUGGGCUUACAGAGUUCGUAGGCGGUCCGGUAAGUUGGGUGUGAAAUCCCUUGGCUCAACCAAGGAACUGCGCUCAAUACUGCCGGACUUGAGGGAGAUAGAGGAGAGCGGAACUGAUGGUGGAGCGGUGAAAUGCGUUGAUAUCAUCAGGAACACCGGUGGCGAAGGCGGCUCUCUGGGUCUUACCUGACGCUGAGGAACGAAAGCUAGGGGAGCAAACGGG